GCAAGAUACCACGGGCGCACGGCGGAUGCCUUGGCACAGGGAGCCGAUGAAGGACGCGGCAAGCUGCGAUAAUCCCCGGCGAGGAGCACACAUCCUUCGACCCGGGGGUCUCCGAAUGGGCGAACCCAUGCACAGCAGUGUGCAUAUCCCCCCGCUGAACGCAUAGGCGGGGGGAGGACAACCCGGGGAACUGAAACAUCUAAGUACCCGGAGGAGAGGAAAUCAAUCUCGAGACUCCCCGAGUAGCGGCGAGCGAAAGGGGACCGAUGGCCAAACCGUCGAGCGGGCAUACCCGGCAGGGGUUCCGCCGACGGGGUUGCAGGGCCGCGCAUCCGGGGGCUGCCGCCCCCGGGCGCAGGUCCGGCUGGGGAGCGGAACGGCAUGGGAGGGCCGGCCGCAGCGGGUGACAGCCCCGUACGCGAACCCAGACCGGACGGCGCGACGCGGUCCCUGAGUAGGGCCGGGCACGUGAAACCCGGUCCGAACCUGGGUGGACCACCAUCCAAGCCUGAGUACUACCCUGUGACCGAUAGCGCACCAGUACCGUGAGGGAAAGGUGAAAAGCACCCCGGGAGGGGAGUGAAACAGUACCUGAAACCGUGCGCCCACGAGCAGUCGGAGCAACUUUCAGUUGUGACGGCGUGCCUUUUGUAGAAUGAGCCAGCGAGUCGCUGGCGCGGGGCGAGGUUAACCGAAAGGGAGCCGGAGCGAAAGCGAGCCUUAACAGGGCGACUUGAGUCCCGCGCCGCGGACGCGAAGCCGGGUGAGCUAUCCGUGGGCAGGCUGAAGCGGGGGUAAGACCCCGUGGAGGGCCGAACGCACGUCGGUUGAAAACGGCGGCGAUGACCUGCGGAUAGGGGUGAAAGGCCAAUCAAACCCGGAGAUAUCUCGUUCUCCCCGAAAUAGCUUUAGGGCUAGCGUCGCGCGUUCACCGCCGGAGGUAGAGCACCGGAUGGACGAGGGGGCUUCGCCGCCUACCGAAUCCAACCGAACUCCGAAUGCCGGCGGCCCAGAGCGCGGCAGUCAGAGCAUGUGGGCUAAGCUGUGUGCUCGAGAGGGAAACAGCCCGGACCGCCCGCUAAGGUCCCCAAGUUCCAGCCGAGUGGCAAAGGAUGUGCGUCCGCCCAGACAACCAGGAUGUUGGCUUAGAAGCAGCCAUCCAUUCAAAGAGUGCGUAACAGCUCACUGGUCGAGUGGACAUGCGCCGACAAUACACGGGGCUAAGCUGGACACCGAAGCGGCGGGAUUUUAAUUCAUUAGAAUCGGUAGGGGAGCUUCCCAUGGGCGGAGAAGCCGGAGGGCGACCGACGGUGGAGCGCAUGGGAGUGAGAAUGCUGGCAUGAGUAGCGAGAGACGAGAGAGUAACUCGUCCGCCGUGAACCCGAGGUUUCCUGGGCAAGGCUAAUCCUCCCAGGGUCAGUCGGGGGCUAAGGCGAGGCCGGGAGGCGUAGCCGACGCGCAGCAGGCAGACAUUCCUGCACCGCGCACGCGGCGCUACGACCGACGGGGCGACGGAUGGGGGUGGCUCGGCGGGGUUCUGGACGUCCCCGUGAUGGAGCGCGGCCCGCGGACCAGGGAAAUCCGGUCCGCAUCAAGGGCGAGGCUCCGGACGAAGCGAUUGAGCGAAGCGAGUGAGCCCGAGGUCCCUAGAAAAACCCCUAGGCAGGCGCGUGCGCGCCCGUACCGCAAACCGACACAGGUGGGUGGGUAGAACAUACCGAGGCGAUCGGGUCAACCAUGGUCAAGGAACUCGGCACAAUGGCCCCGUAACUUCGGGAGAAGGGGUGCCCGCGCGUACGUGAACCGGCUUGCCCGGGGAGCGGAGGCGGGCCGCAGUGGAGAGGCCCAAGCGACUGUUUACCAAAAACACAGGACUCUGCAGAAGCCGCAAGGCGACGUAUAGGGUCUGACGCCUGCCCGGUGCCGGAAGGUCACGCGGAGGAGUUAGCCGAUUCGGCGAAGCCCCGAAGCCAAGCCCCGGUAAACGGCGGCCGUAACUAUAACGGUCCUAAGGUAGCGAAAUUCCUUGUCGGGU
This 2035-nucleotide ribosomal RNA is filed under the name human gut metagenome. RNAcentral's name for it is "bacterial LSU rRNA". It matches the Rfam family "Bacterial large subunit ribosomal RNA", at positions 1 to 1977 of the family's 2925-position model. The record is from RNAcentral.